Molecule: ribosomal RNA, 2776 nt
Filed under: Serratia marcescens
Lineage: Bacteria; Pseudomonadati; Pseudomonadota; Gammaproteobacteria; Enterobacterales; Yersiniaceae
Description: bacterial LSU rRNA
Rfam family: Bacterial large subunit ribosomal RNA
Source: RNAcentral
AGCGUACACGGUGGAUGCCUAGGCAGUCAGAGGCGAUGAAGGGCGUGCUAAUCUGCGAAAAGCGUCGGUAAGGUGAUAUGAACCGUUAUAACCGGCGAUACCCGAAUGGGGAAACCCAGUGUGUUUCGACACACUAUCAUGUCAUGAAUACAUAGUGGCAUGAGGCGAACCGGGGGAACUGAAACAUCUAAGUACCCCGAGGAAAAGAAAUCAACCGAGAUUCCCCCAGUAGCGGCGAGCGAACGGGGAGGAGCCCAGAACCUGAAUCGGCUUGUGUGUUAGUGGAAGCGUCUGGAAAGUCGCGCAGCAAAGGGUGAUAGCCCCGUACACUAAAAUGCACAGGUCGUGAGUUCGAUGAGUAGGGCGGGACACGUGACAUCCUGUCUGAAUAUGGGGGGACCAUCCUCCAAGGCUAAAUACUCCUGACUGACCGAUAGUGAACCAGUACCGUGAGGGAAAGGCGAAAAGAACCCCGGCGAGGGGAGUGAAAUAGAACCUGAAACCGUGUACGUACAAGCAGUGGGAGCACCUUCGUGGUGUGACUGCGUACCUUUUGUAUAAUGGGUCAGCGACUUAUAUUUUGUAGCAAGGUUAACCGUAUAGGGGAGCCGUAGGGAAACCGAGUCUUAACUGGGCGAUUAGUUGCAAGGUAUAGACCCGAAACCCGGUGAUCUAGCCAUGGGCAGGUUGAAGGUUGGGUAACACUAACUGGAGGACCGAACCGACUAAUGUUGAAAAAUUAGCGGAUGACUUGUGGCUGGGGGUGAAAGGCCAAUCAAACCGGGAGAUAGCUGGUUCUCCCCGAAAGCUAUUUAGGUAGCGCCUCGUGAACUCAUCUUCGGGGGUAGAGCACUGUUUCGGCUAGGGGGCCAUCCCGGCUUACCAAACCGAUGCAAACUCCGAAUACCGAAGAAUGUUAUCACGGGAGACACACGGCGGGUGCUAACGUCCGUCGUGAAGAGGGAAACAACCCAGACCGCCAGCUAAGGUCCCAAAGUCAUGGUUAAGUGGGAAACGAUGUGGGAAGGCACAGACAGCCAGGAUGUUGGCUUAGAAGCAGCCAUCAUUUAAAGAAAGCGUAAUAGCUCACUGGUCGAGUCGGCCUGCGCGGAAGAUGUAACGGGGCUAAACCAUGCACCGAAGCUGCGGCAGCGACGCUUAGGCGUUGUUGGGUAGGGGAGCGUUCUGUAAGCCGUUGAAGGUGGCCUGUGAGGGUUGCUGGAGGUAUCAGAAGUGCGAAUGCUGACAUAAGUAACGAUAAAGCGGGUGAAAAGCCCGCUCGCCGGAAGACCAAGGGUUCCUGUCCAACGUUAAUCGGGGCAGGGUGAGUCGACCCCUAAGGCGAGGCUGAAAAGCGUAGUCGAUGGGAAACAGGUUAAUAUUCCUGUACUUGGUGUUACUGCGAAGGGGGGACGGAGAAGGCUAGGCUGGCCGGGCGACGGUUGUCCCGGUUUAAGCGUGUAGGGGGUGUGACCUGGUAAAUCCGGUUGCAUAUCAACCCUGAGGCGUGAUGACGAUGCACUACGGUGCAGAAGUAGUUGAUGCCCUGCUUCCAGGAAAAUCCUCUAAGCUCCAGGUAACAUUAAAUCGUACCCCAAACCGACACAGGUGGUCAGGUAGAGAAUACCAAGGCGCUUGAGAGAACUCGGGUGAAGGAACUAGGCAAAAUGGUGCCGUAACUUCGGGAGAAGGCACGCUGGCAUGUAGGUGAAGUCCCUCGCGGAUGGAGCUGAAGCCAGUCGAAGAUACCAGCUGGCUGCAACUGUUUAAUAAAAACACAGCACUGUGCAAACACGAAAGUGGACGUAUACGGUGUGACGCCUGCCCGGUGCUGGAAGGUUAAUUGAUGGGGUCAGCCGCAAGGCGAAGCUCUUGAUCGAAGCCCCAGUAAACGGCGGCCGUAACUAUAACGGUCCUAAGGUAGCGAAAUUCCUUGUCGGGUAAGUUCCGACCUGCACGAAUGGCGUAAUGAUGGCCAGGCUGUCUCCACCCGAGACUCAGUGAAAUUGAACUCGCUGUGAAGAUGCAGUGUACCCGCGGCAAGACGGAAAGACCCCGUGAACCUUUACUAUAGCUUGACACUGAACAUUGAGCCUUGAUGUGUAGGAUAGGUGGGAGGCUUUGAAGCGUGGACGCCAGUCUGCGUGGAGCCAUCCUUGAAAUACCACCCUUUAAUGUUUGAUGUUCUAACUCUGCCCCAUAAUCUGGGGUGAGGACAGUGUCUGGUGGGUAGUUUGACUGGGGCGGUCUCCUCCCAAAGAGUAACGGAGGAGCACGAAGGUUAGCUAAUCACGGUCGGACAUCGUGAGGUUAGUGCAAAGGCAUAAGCUAGCUUGACUGCGAGAGUGACGGCUCGAGCAGGUACGAAAGUAGGUCUUAGUGAUCCGGUGGUUCUGAAUGGAAGGGCCAUCGCUCAACGGAUAAAAGGUACUCCGGGGAUAACAGGCUGAUACCGCCCAAGAGUUCAUAUCGACGGCGGUGUUUGGCACCUCGAUGUCGGCUCAUCACAUCCUGGGGCUGAAGUAGGUCCCAAGGGUAUGGCUGUUCGCCAUUUAAAGUGGUACGCGAGCUGGGUUUAGAACGUCGUGAGACAGUUCGGUCCCUAUCUGCCGUGGGCGUUGGAAGAUUGAGAGGGGUUGCUCCUAGUACGAGAGGACCGGAGUGAACGCACCACUGGUGUUCGGGUUGUCAUGCCAAUGGCAUUGCCCGGUAGCUAAGUGCGGAAAAGAUAAGCGCUGAAAGCAUCUAAGCGCGAAACUUGCCUCAAGAUGAGUCU